AUCACUUCCUGUCCUUUGGCUAAGGUGAAGUGUGAUAUCUGUUCUUAUCAGUUUAAUAGCACUUACAUCCUUUGUAUGAGGAUAACAUUGUAAAAAUGGACUUUUGGAUCUGGGAGAUAGAAUGAGAGCUUGCACUGUCCACUCCAUGCAGCAAUCUGGUAUUGCAGCACCUCCGGGAAUGGUCACCCCUC
This 191-nucleotide small nuclear RNA is filed under the name Cricetulus griseus (Chinese hamster). RNAcentral's name for it is "U2 spliceosomal RNA (ENSCGRG00015005967.2)". It matches the Rfam family "U2 spliceosomal RNA". Rfam says of the family: U2 is a small nuclear RNA (snRNA) component of the spliceosome (involved in pre-mRNA splicing). Complementary binding between U2 snRNA (in an area lying towards the 5' end but 3' to hairpin I) and the branchpoint sequence (BPS) of the intron results the bulging out of an unpaired adenosine, on the BPS, which initiates a nucleophilic attack at the intronic 5' splice site, thus starting the first of two transesterification reactions that mediate splicing. The record is from RNAcentral. Lineage: Eukaryota; Metazoa; Chordata; Mammalia; Rodentia; Cricetidae.